GGGUUGUGAGGUUAAGCGACUAAGCGUACACGGUGGAUGCCCUGGCAGUCAGAGGCGAUGAAGGACGUGCUAAUCUGCGAUAAGCGUCGGUAAGGUGAUAUGAACCGUUAUAACCGGCGAUUUCCGAAUGGGGAAACCCAGUGUGAUUCGUCACACUAUCAUUAACUGAAUCCAUAGGUUAAUGAGGCGAACCGGGGGAACUGAAACAUCUAAGUACCCCGAGGAAAAGAAAUCAACCGAGAUUCCCCCAGUAGCGGCGAGCGAACGGGGAGCAGCCCAGAGCCUGAAUCAGUGUGUGUGUUAGUGGAAGCGUCUGGAAAGGCGCGCGAUACAGGGUGACAGCCCCGUACACAAAAAUGCACAUGCUGUGAGCUCGAUGAGUAGGGCGGGACACGUGGUAUCCUGUCUGAAUAUGGGGGGACCAUCCUCCAAGGCUAAAUACUCCUGACUGACCGAUAGUGAACCAGUACCGUGAGGGAAAGGCGAAAAGAACCCCGGCGAGGGGAGUGAAAAAGAACCUGAAACCGUGUACGUACAAGCAGUGGGAGCACGCUUAGGCGUGUGACUGCGUACCUUUUGUAUAAUGGGUCAGCGACUUAUAUUCUGUAGCAAGGUUAACCGAAUAGGGGAGCCGAAGGGAAACCGAGUCUUAACUGGGCGUUAAGUUGCAGGGUAUAGACCCGAAACCCGGUGAUCUAGCCAUGGGCAGGUUGAAGGUUGGGUAACACUAACUGGAGGACCGAACCGACUAAUGUUGAAAAAUUAGCGGAUGACUUGUGGCUGGGGGUGAAAGGCCAAUCAAACCGGGAGAUAGCUGGUUCUCCCCGAAAGCUAUUUAGGUAGCGCCUCGUGAAUUCAUCUCCGGGGGUAGAGCACUGUUUCGGCAAGGGGGUCAUCCCGACUUACCAACCCGAUGCAAACUGCGAAUACCGGAGAAUGUUAUCACGGGAGACACACGGCGGGUGCUAACGUCCGUCGUGAAGAGGGAAACAACCCAGACCGCCAGCUAAGGUCCCAAAGUCAUGGUUAAGUGGGAAACGAUGUGGGAAGGCCCAGACAGCCAGGAUGUUGGCUUAGAAGCAGCCAUCAUUUAAAGAAAGCGUAAUAGCUCACUGGUCGAGUCGGCCUGCGCGGAAGAUGUAACGGGGCUAAACCAUGCACCGAAGCUGCGGCAGCGACGCUUAUGCGUUGUUGGGUAGGGGAGCGUUCUGUAAGCCUGUGAAGGUGUACUGUGAGGUAUGCUGGAGGUAUCAGAAGUGCGAAUGCUGACAUAAGUAACGAUAAAGCGGGUGAAAAGCCCGCUCGCCGGAAGACCAAGGGUUCCUGUCCAACGUUAAUCGGGGCAGGGUGAGUCGACCCCUAAGGCGAGGCCGAAAGGCGUAGUCGAUGGGAAACAGGUUAAUAUUCCUGUACUUGGUGUUACUGCGAAGGGGGGACGGAGAAGGCUAUGUUGGCCGGGCGACGGUUGUCCCGGUUUAAGCGUGUAGGCUGGUUUUCCAGGCAAAUCCGGAAAAUCAAGGCCGAGGCGUGAUGACGAGGCACUACGGUGCUGAAGCAACAAAUGCCCUGCUUCCAGGAAAAGCCUCUAAGCAUCAGGUAACAUCAAAUCGUACCCCAAACCGACACAGGUGGUCAGGUAGAGAAUACCAAGGCGCUUGAGAGAACUCGGGUGAAGGAACUAGGCAAAAUGGUGCCGUAACUUCGGGAGAAGGCACGCUGAUACGUAGGUGAAGCGACUUGCUCGUGGAGCUGAAAUCAGUCGAAGAUACCAGCUGGCUGCAACUGUUUAUUAAAAACACAGCACUGUGCAAACACGAAAGUGGACGUAUACGGUGUGACGCCUGCCCGGUGCCGGAAGGUUAAUUGAUGGGGUUAGCGCAAGCGAAGCUCUUGAUCGAAGCCCCGGUAAACGGCGGCCGUAACUAUAACGGUCCUAAGGUAGCGAAAUUCCUUGUCGGGUAAGUUCCGACCUGCACGAAUGGCGUAAUGAUGGCCAGGCUGUCUCCACCCGAGACUCAGUGAAAUUGAACUCGCUGUGAAGAUGCAGUGUACCCGCGGCAAGACGGAAAGACCCCGUGAACCUUUACUAUAGCUUGACACUGAACAUUGAGCCUUGAUGUGUAGGAUAGGUGGGAGGCUUUGAAGUGUGGACGCCAGUCUGCAUGGAGCCGACCUUGAAAUACCACCCUUUAAUGUUUGAUGUUCUAACGUGGACCCGUGAUCCGGGUUGCGGACAGUGUCUGGUGGGUAGUUUGACUGGGGCGGUCUCCUCCUAAAGAGUAACGGAGGAGCACGAAGGUUGGCUAAUCCUGGUCGGACAUCAGGAGGUUAGUGCAAUGGCAUAAGCCAGCUUGACUGCGAGCGUGACGGCGCGAGCAGGUGCGAAAGCAGGUCAUAGUGAUCCGGUGGUUCUGAAUGGAAGGGCCAUCGCUCAACGGAUAAAAGGUACUCCGGGGAUAACAGGCUGAUACCGCCCAAGAGUUCAUAUCGACGGCGGUGUUUGGCACCUCGAUGUCGGCUCAUCACAUCCUGGGGCUGAAGUAGGUCCCAAGGGUAUGGCUGUUCGCCAUUUAAAGUGGUACGCGAGCUGGGUUUAGAACGUCGUGAGACAGUUCGGUCCCUAUCUGCCGUGGGCGCUGGAGAACUGAGGGGGGCUGCUCCUAGUACGAGAGGACCGGAGUGGACGCAUCACUGGUGUUCGGGUUGUCAUGCCAAUGGCACUGCCCGGUAGCUAAAUGCGGAAGAGAUAAGUGCUGAAAGCAUCUAAGCACG
This 2772-nucleotide ribosomal RNA is filed under the name Shigella flexneri. RNAcentral's name for it is "partial 23S ribosomal RNA". It matches the Rfam family "Bacterial large subunit ribosomal RNA". Lineage: Bacteria; Pseudomonadati; Pseudomonadota; Gammaproteobacteria; Enterobacterales; Enterobacteriaceae. The record is from RNAcentral.